AAGUCGUAACAAGGUUUCCGUAGGUGAACCUGCGGAAGGAUCAUUGAGAAUUUAAAAGUGUAGGUCUUCUUGGUUGGAGGUGUUUCGGCACUGAAGGCUGGGGGGGGGGCUUGCAUUUUGUUUUGUGAACUGUUUUUUGGGUUUUUGAUUUUUUGGGUACUUUGUAUUUUUUUUAAAAAAGUUUCAUUUAUGACAACUUUCAGCAAUGGAUCUCUAGGCUCUU
Molecule: unclassified non-coding RNA, 223 nt
Filed under: fungal sp.
Lineage: Eukaryota; Fungi
Description: partial internal transcribed spacer region
Rfam family: Eukaryotic small subunit ribosomal RNA (bases 1-46)
Source: RNAcentral